RNAcentral lists this unclassified non-coding RNA (294 nucleotides) under plant metagenome. RNAcentral's name for it is "partial contains small subunit ribosomal RNA, internal transcribed spacer 1, and 5.8S ribosomal RNA". The stretch from base 1 to 54 matches the Rfam family "Eukaryotic small subunit ribosomal RNA", at positions 1778 to 1831 of the family's 1831-position model. The record is from RNAcentral.
GGAAGUAAAAGGCGUAACAAGGUUUCCGUAGGUGAACCUGCGGAAGGAUCAUUAAUGAGUUGUCAUGGGGUUCGAUGCUGGCAGCCAGUUUUUGGAUGCAUGUGCUUGCCCUAACAAUCAUCUUCUUCCAAACACCUGUGCACAUUUUUGAGGGAGUCUUGAGUUGGUUGCCGCUCUUGGGUGAUUUUCUCACAUUCCCUUAAAUCAGUAUACGCUAUUAACAAUGUUGAACGUGCUCUGUGUCGCAAGGCCAUUAAUAUAAUACAACUUUUAACAACGGAUCUCUUGGCUCUC